Molecule: microRNA precursor, 73 nt
Filed under: Myotis brandtii (Brandt's bat)
Lineage: Eukaryota; Metazoa; Chordata; Mammalia; Chiroptera; Vespertilionidae
Description: mir-9193 microRNA precursor family
Rfam family: mir-9193 microRNA precursor family
Source: Rfam by way of RNAcentral
CUCGCAGGGCGGGGUGGCUCAGCCCAGAUUGUGAGAGGGCGCAGGCCAGGCUGAGGGACCCCACCAGUGCACU